CCUACGGGAGGCAGCAGUGGGGAAUCUUGGACAAUGGGGGGAACCCUGAUCCAGCGACGCCGCGUGAGUGAAGAAGUUUUUCGGUAUGUAAAGCUCUAUCAGCAGGGUAGAAAAUGACGGUACCUGACUAAGAAGCCCCGGCUAACUCCGUGCCAGCAGCCGCGGUAAUACGCAGGGGGCAGGCGUUAUCCGGAUUUACUGGGUGUAAAGGGAGCGUAGACGGUGCAGCAAGUCUGAUGGGAAAGGUCGGGGCCCAACCCCGGGACUGCAUUGGAUACUGUUGAACGGGAGUACAGGAGAGGUAAGCGGAAGUCCUAGUGUAGCGGGGAAAUGCGUAGAUAGUAGGAGGAACACCAGUGGCGAAGGCGGCUUACUGGACUGUAACUGACGUUGAGGCUCGAAAGCGUGGGGAGCAAACAGGAGUAGAUACCCUAGUAGUC
Molecule: ribosomal RNA, 440 nt
Filed under: uncultured bacterium
Lineage: Bacteria
Description: partial 16S ribosomal RNA
Rfam family: Bacterial small subunit ribosomal RNA
Source: RNAcentral